AUUUUGGUGCAGUGUUAGUAACAUAGCUCAUGAGGUUUAUCCAAGGCGUGAUUGUUGCUAAUUGAAAACGUUACCCAAUACCCCGCCUUGAUGACUUGAAACAGGCAGCUAUGUCAAUAUUUAGUAGUCUCCGUUGAGA
Molecule: small nuclear RNA, 139 nt
Organism: Nerophis ophidion (straightnose pipefish)
Lineage: Eukaryota; Metazoa; Chordata; Actinopteri; Syngnathiformes; Syngnathidae
Product: U4 spliceosomal RNA
Exons: 1
Source: RefSeq, a predicted model, not a curated record